AAGUCGAGCGAGAAAGUAUCUUCGGAUAUGAGUAGAGCGGCGGACGGGUGAGUAACGCGUAGGAAUCUACCUAGUAGAAGGGGAUAGCCCGGGGAAACUCGGAUUAAUACCGUAUACCUCCUUUGGGAGAAAGAGGGCCUCUCUUGAUGCUCUCGCUAUUAGAUGAGCCUGCGUAAGAUUAGCUUGUUGGUAAGGUAAUGGCUUACCAAGGCAACGAUCUUUAGCUGGUCUGAGAGGACGAUCAGCCACAUUGGGACUGAGACACGGCCCAGACUCCUACGGGAGGCAGCAGUGGGGAAUAUUGGACAAUGGGCGCAAGCCUGAUCCAGCCAUACCGCGUGUGUGAAGAAGGCCUUCGGGUUGUAAAGCACUUUAAGCAGGGAGAAAAAGUUAUAAGUUAAUACCUUAUAACCGUGAUGUUACCUGCAGAAUAAGCACCGGCUAAUUCCGUGCCAGCAGCCGCGGUAAUACGGAAGGUGCAAGCGUUAAUCGGAAUUACUGGGCGUAAAGCGCGCGUAGGUGGUUUGUUAAGUUGGAUGUGAAAGCCCUGGGCUCAACCUAGGAACUGCAUCCAAAACUAACUCACUAGUGUACGAUAGAGGGAGGUAGAAUUCAUAGUGUAGCGGUGGAAUGCGUAGAUAUUAUGAAGAAUACCAGUGGCGAAGCGGCCUCCUGGAUCUGUACUGACACUGAGGUGCGAAAGCGUGGGUAGCGAACAGGAUUAGAUACCCUGGUAGUCCACGCCGUAAACGAUGACAACUAGCUGUUGGGAGAAAAUGUCUUUCAGUGGCGCAGCUAACGUUUUAAGUUGUCCGCCUGGGG
RNAcentral lists this ribosomal RNA (822 nucleotides) under uncultured marine bacterium. Its description in RNAcentral is "bacterial SSU rRNA". It matches the Rfam family "Bacterial small subunit ribosomal RNA", at positions 59 to 878 of the family's 1533-position model. The record is from RNAcentral.